GAUCAUAGCUCAGGAUGAACGCUGGCGGCGUGCCUAACACAUGCAAGUCGAACGGAGUCGUUUUGGAAAAUCCUUCGGGAUUGGAAUUCUCGACUUAGUGGCGGACGGGUGAGUAACGCGUGAGCAAUCUGCCUUUAAGAGGGGGAUAACAGUCGGAAACGGCUGCUAAUACCGCAUAAAGCAUCGAAACCGCAUGAUUUUGAUGCCAAAGGAGCAAUCCGCUUUUA
RNAcentral lists this ribosomal RNA (227 nucleotides) under uncultured bacterium. RNAcentral describes it as "partial 16S ribosomal RNA". It matches the Rfam family "Bacterial small subunit ribosomal RNA", at positions 15 to 223 of the family's 1533-position model. The record is from RNAcentral.